UUUUUUUUGUUUUUGCUUUGUCUUUAAUCCUUUAAAAAUCAAUAAUGGAGUUAAAAACCAGAAGUAUAAUAAAACACAUUUUUAUACUUUUUCCAAAUAUUUACUUUUACUGGACUCGAAUUACUGUAUAUUAUCAUUUUGUUUCAACUUGAAAGGUACCUUUUAGCAUUUCUUGCAUGAUGAGUAUAGUGGUAAAAUAUCCUUCAGGUUUUGUUUAUCUGUGAAUGUCUUGAUUUCUCCUUUAUUCUUGAAGGUCUUUGUUGCCAAAUGUCGUUUUAGUUGACAGUUUUUUCUUUCAGUACUUUAAAUGUAUCAUCUCAUUACAUUUGGCCUGUAGGAUUUCUGCUGAAAAAUCCCCUAAUAAUCUUAUGGAGGCUACAUUUUACCUUUCUCUUGCUGUCUUCAAAAUCUCCUCUUUGUCCCUGACUCUGAACAGAUUAAGUACAGUGUGUCUCAGUGUCAUUCUCUUUGUAGCUGUAGCUGCUGGCCUACACCACAGUCACAGCAAGGCAGGAUCCAAGCUGGUCUGUGACCUACACCACAGCUCACAGCAAUGCUGAAUCCUUAACACACUGAGUUAGGCCAGGGAGUGAACCAACGUCCUCAAGGAUGCUAGUCAGAUUGAUUUCCUCUGAGUCAUGAUGGGAAUUCCCACUUUUCUUAACUUUUCUUUUCGUCCCUUAAACUUGAUAAUUACAAGUGACCUGUCUUCAAGUUUUCUGAUUUCUUUUUUUCUUUCAAUUUUGUUAUUGUAUUUUUUUUCAGCUUCAGAAAUAAUGUUAGGUCUUUUUAAAAAAAUUUUAAAUCUUUGUUGAUAUUUUAAUUUUGUUUAUAAAUCAUUUUCCUUUUUUUUCUACUUGUGUACCUGUGUUCUCUUUCAGAUAACUGACUUUAACUUAAAAAAUCUCUAUUUCUUUUUUUCUUUUUUAUAAUGAUUAUUUUCAUUAUAACUGGUUUACUGUGUUCUUUCAAUUUUCUACUGUACAGUAUGGUGACCCAGUUACACAUACAUGUAUACAUUCUUUUUUCUCACAUUAUCAUGCUCCAGCAUAAGUGACUAGACAUAGUUCCCAGAGCUACACAGCAUGAUCUCAUUGCUUAUCCAUUCCAAAGGCAAUAGUCUGCAUCUAUUAACCUCAAGUUCCCAAUCCAUCUUGCUCCCUCCUCCUCUCCCUUGGCAACCACAAGUCUAUUCUCCAAGUCCAUGAGUUUCUUUUCUGUGUAAAGGUUCAUUUGUUCCAUAUAUUAGAUUCCAGAUAUGUGAUAUCAUAUGGUAUUUAUCUUUCUCUUUCUGACUUAACUUCACUUAGUAUGAGAGUCUCUAGUUCCAUCCAUGUUACUGCAAAUGGCAAUAUUUUGUACUUUUAAUGGCUGGGUAGUAUUCCAUUGUGUAUAUAUACAACAUCUUCCUAAUCCAAUCAUCUGUCAGUGGACAUUUGUGUUGUUUCCAUGUCUUGGCUAUUUUGAAUAGUGCUUCAAUGAAGUGUGUAUUUCUUAAAGGUUGGUAUAUAGAGAUUUAUUUUGUUCAUUUUAAUGAGUCAUUGUCUCUGUUUGUUUCUGCCUUGUGAUUUUUUUAUUGAUAUCUGGGCAUUUGAAAAAUCAGCUUCUUCUCUCAAUCUUUUUGGAUUGGCUUCAUGCAGAUGUAGACAUUCAUUAAUUAGACAUUCAGUAAUCAUUCCAGUAUAAUGAGUCCUCUCAAACCUUUUCUGGGGAUGCAACUCCCCUAUGCCUGUGUGUAUAAAUUUUCAUUAAAUAGUUCUGAUGCUAAAAAGGCUGCUUUUAAGUCUCUUGAUUUCUCUAAACAUUUAAUUUUGAUUUACUCUCAGAAGAUUUAGAUUUCUAUUAUAUACCUCUUCCCAUAAUAUCUGCCCUCAGGCACUCCCAGGACUAUAGACAUUCUACAGCACUAAUAUAUCACGUUGCCCGCCAUUGUUUUUAGUGAUCUUCACCUGGUAUCCAAACCAUGCCACUGUUCCCACCAGUGUUCCAAAUCUGAUAGGUCAUUCCCUGAAGAAGCCCUCAGACAACAGAAUUACAAGCAAGUUCCAGUCUUUUCCUUCUUUCUGAAGGAGGUACCCAAAAUUGGGCAGUCUCUUCUCAACCACACACAUACAAUCUGCAAAAGUAGGUGUGGGGACAUGAAAAGCAAAAGGUUUCCUACUGCAUUUAAUGUGGCUUUGACUUGAAGGCUAAAUGUGAAAAAGAUAGGCUAAAUCGUUUAUUCUUCUAGGCAUGGUAAGAAUUUUAUUCAUUACCAUAUGAGGCCCUGUUUAUUUUAACAGUUAUGCCAGCAAGAUUUAAACUCAAAAUUUAGUCAUUGCAUUACCUAAAGUAUGAUUUAUAAUUCUGAACCUAAGCAUUUAUUUCACAUAUCAAAUACUUAAAAGAUAAUUGUAGUUAUAGUUUUGUUGAUAUAGACUGCAUCAUAUAUGCAACUUCUCAGAAAUUUUGUACAAAAAAUGUUUUGUGUAUUUAUGUAGUUAUACAAUCCACAUAGAAGGAACUUGUUUCCUAUACAUUUAUUCUUAUCUUUUUAUACUGUAAGCAAUUUCAUGAUUGCUAUCUCUUUGUUUUUCUUAAGCAAACAUAGGUUUUUCUCAUAUCAUUUCCAGCCAUUUUUAUGUCUAAAAUAUAACACAUAAGAAGUAUCAAGAUGGUGGAAGAGUAAGUUAUUGUGUUCAACCUCUCCCAGAAAUGCAUCAAAAAAACACAUCUACAUGUAGAAUGAUUCAUGCAGAACAUCUACUGAACACUGGCAGAAGAAAUUAAACCUCCAAAAACGGCAAGAAACCUUCCACAUAACUGGGUAGAACAAAAGAAAAAAAGAGAGAGAAAAAAGGAAUCAGGAUGGGACUAGCAUUCCUGAGAGGAAGACGUGAAAGACAAAAGGAAGCCACAACCUGGAAAGCCACCUAACCAAUGGAGAGAUCAGCUGAGAUGAAGGAACCUCAAACUCAACAAGAAAAAUGCAGCAACUGGACUGAGGAGGUCAAAGCAGAGUGAGAGCCUCACAGAUCAUCUGCAUCAUCGCCCUGGACACAACAGCAUGAGAUACUUGGGUGGGAGCUGGGCACUGAGACUCAGGCUCUGGCAGUCAGUUCUGGGGAGAGGACUAGAAUUGGCUGUGUGGAUCCAGCAUGAGGGGAAAGGGAGCAGUGUGCCGCAGGCUGGGGAGAAGAAAACCACAGCUCAGCUGAGGGUAGAUGGGAAGAGUUCUGGGCCUUCAGGAGAAGCAAGCACCAUUGUUGGGAAGGCUAGAGGAGGAGGGGUGGAGCACUAUAGGAAUCUCCCUGUGCAUACACAGGCUGUCCGAUGGCAGGGCACCUCUGGCACAAGCUAUGGGUGCUGAGAAGACACUUGCUUGGUCUAUGGGAGACUGGGUGCUUCUUGUGCAGCCUAUGGGUGGCCAGGCACCUCUUGUGUGGGCUAAGGGCAGUAGGGAGCUAAGUGCGAGUGGUGCCCCUUGUGUGAUCUACAGGUGGCAGGGACAAACCACAGCAGCCAUCUCAGAAACUAGAGGGAGGCAUGGCCCACCACCACAGGGGUCUGUGAACAGGCUCCACCUGUUGCCCCAAUAACCUCAGAGGUUGGCAAAAAAAGAGGGCACUACAAUCAACAACCACCCAUUGUUUCUCUCAUUCCCCUGGGAACACACCCACCCCACUGCUACCACUGUCAAAUGCUCUGUGAAACACCCACACAUGCUUGAUCACUGUCACUUCCCAGGACCCUGCAGCUAGGAGCAGCCUGUGCAGCACCUCCUGCAUGGGCUAAGUGGGACAGGGUGUAUCUUGUGUGCUCUAAAGGUGGUGGGGGCAAACCACCACAGUUAUCUCUGACUCCAGAGGUGGGCGUGGCCAACCACCACUAGAGGCCUGUGAAUAGGCACCACUUACAGCCCCAAUUACCUCAGAGGGCACCAUGAGGAGGGCGUUGUGAACAAACACCACCUGUUGUUGCUCUCGCUCCCCUGGGAACUCACACACACUGCCACUGCCAAGUUCUCCAGGCACUGCCUAAAUCUGCCUGAGGCUCAUUACCACUUUCCAGGGCCCUGCCACCUUCCUGCAGGCCCUUGCUGCUGUUAAAAGCCCAGCACCCAGGCACUGACUAUGAGCCUCACCCAUUGCCUCCUUCUCUCUAGAAACACACUCAGUACCCUGGGGAUAACAGUCUGCUCACACUGAAGGGAAAGACAGCAAAUAUCCAAACUCCCAUGCCAAAAAUAAAUAGUAACCCCCCAACAAAGAGCAAAGGGGUGCUCUUGCAUAGAAAUAGCCCUCCAAGACUACAGUAGUUGAUUUCCCUAAACUCACAGGAAAAGAAAAAUAUAAGUGAAAUGAAGACGCUCAGGAACCAUUCCCAUUUAAAAGAACAGGAGAACCUGAAGCAGCAAACAGUGAAACAGACCUCUGCAAUUUAACAGACACUGAGCAUGAAAAGGACACUGUGAAAAUAUUGAAGGAAUUAAGGGUGAAUAUUUAGGAAUUAAGAGAAGAAAUAAAUAGUAAGCAGAUUACUUUAGAAAGGAACUAGAAAAUAUAAGGAGGAACCAAGAAAAAUCAGAAAAUUCAUUUGCAGAGAUGCAAACUGAGCUAAAGGCAAUAAUGUGCAGAAUGAAUAAUGCAGAGGAAUGAAUUAGUGACAUGGAAGAUAGAAUAAUGGAAAUCACUCAGUCAGGACAGCGGACAGAAAACCAAAUAAAAAAACAUGAAAGGAAUAAAAGAGAUCUAUGGGAUAAUAUAAAGCAUGACAAUCUAGGGAUAAUAGGAAUUUCAGAAGGAGAAGAAAAAGAAAAGGGGUUUGAAAAUAUAUUUAAAGAAAUUAUGGCUGAAAUCUUUCCAAGUCAAAAGGAAACAGAUAUCAAGUUACAGCAAGCACAGAAGGCCCCAAACAAGCUGAACUCAAGGAUGCCCACACCAAGACAUAUUAUAAUAAAAAUGGAAAAGUAAAAGAGAGGAUUCUUAAGGCAGCAAGAGAAAUGCUAAUUGUUAUUUAUAAGGGAACCCCCAAAAGGCUAUCAGCUGAUUUCUCUCAGAAAAACUACAUGCCAGAAAAGACUGGUAAGAUAUAUUCAAAGUUCUAAACGGGGAAAAUGUGCUGCCAAUAAUACUCUACCCAGCAAAAAUAUCAUUUAAUAUAGAAAGAGGAACAAAAGCUAAAAGAGUACAAAGAUACUAAGCCCAUUCUAAAAGAAAUAAUAAAAGGACUUCUCUAAAUAAAAAAAAAAUAAAUGAGAAGAAAUAGGAUGGAGGAAAUCACAAUUGGAAAGUAAUCACUAAAGUCAGUAUACAGAUCUAAAAUGACAAAAAAACCUACUCUAAAAGUGAGGAAAAACACAAUGAACAACAAAAGGACAAACAUAAAGAUGUUAAAAAAGGACUUCAAAAUCAUAGAAUGCAGGGAAUGAAAGUAAGAAAAUCUGUACUUUUUAAAAAUAAUGUGUUUGAACUAUGACUAUCAGGCUAAAGCAAGCAUAAAUAGAAAGUGGUUAACAUACUUAAAAAACAGGGCAACCACAAAUCAAACCAAAUAUUACAUUUAGAAAAACUAAAAAGAAAAGUACUCAAGCAUAAAAUCAAUGAAAAUCAUCCAAGCAAAAAAAGAAAGGAACAAAGGAGAAACAUAGAAUCAACUGGAAAACAAGGUUUAAAAUGACAAUAAAUACAUAUUUAUCAAUAAUUACUUUAAAAGUCAAUGGACUGAAUGUUCCAAUCAAAAGACACAGAGUGCCAGAUUGGAUAAAAAGCACGAGCUUGCACUGUGCUGCCUACAAGAGACUCACCUUAGGGCAAAGGACACAUAUAAACUGAAAGUGAGGGGAUGGAAAAAAUAUUUCAAAUGAACAGAAAAGACAGGAAAGCAGGAGGUACAAUACUCAUAUCAAUCAAAAUAGACUUUACAAUGAAGUCCAUAAAGACAAAGAAGGACACAAUUUAAUGAUAAAAGGAUCCAUUCAAGAAAAGGAUAUUACAAUCAUCAAUAUGUAUGCUCUAGUAUUGGAGCACCAAGAUACAUAAAACAAAUACUAAUAGACAUAAAAGCAGAAAUUGAUGGGAAUAAAAUAAUAGUAGGAGAUUCUAACACCCCACUCACAUCAA
This 6101-nucleotide long non-coding RNA is filed under the name Sus scrofa (pig). RNAcentral describes it as "lncRNA (ENSSSCG00060027322.1, ENSSSCG00155035675.1, ENSSSCG00180035056.1, ENSSSCG00190016263.1)". Lineage: Eukaryota; Metazoa; Chordata; Mammalia; Artiodactyla; Suidae. The record is from RNAcentral.